UACGGGGGGAGCAAGGGUUGUUCGGAUUUACUGGGCGUAAAGGGCGCGUAGGCGGCCACUGCAAGUCAGUUGUGAAAUCUCCGGGCUUAACCCGGAAAGGUCAACUGAUACUGCAGGGCUAGAGUGCAGAAGGGGCAACUGGAAUUCUCGGUGUAGCGGUGAAAUGCGUAGAUAUCGAGAGGAACACCUGCGGCGAAGGCGGGUUGCUGGGCUGACACUGACGCUGAUGUGCGAAAGCUAGGGGAGCGAACGGG
RNAcentral lists this ribosomal RNA (254 nucleotides) under uncultured bacterium. RNAcentral describes it as "partial 16S ribosomal RNA". It matches the Rfam family "Bacterial small subunit ribosomal RNA", at positions 524 to 776 of the family's 1533-position model. The record is from RNAcentral.